This 1758-nucleotide ribosomal RNA is filed under the name Triticum aestivum (bread wheat). RNAcentral describes it as "partial small subunit ribosomal RNA". The record is from RNAcentral. Lineage: Eukaryota; Viridiplantae; Streptophyta; Magnoliopsida; Poales; Poaceae.
AUGACCAACCCCCAAGGGCUACGGAGGAUGAAUGGCGGCAAGGAGCUCCCUAGUGACGCCUUCAAGAAGAGGGCAGAGCCGAGAGCUGCGAAUCCGGACCUAGAGACAGGAGUGGCACAUGAGCCAUGCCCCCAAGAGGCACAUCCGUCAAUGGUGGGCCGCCAUCCGAGUGGAGUCGAAGGGCGACAGAGGACAGGACCGAGACGGACAUGUGAGGUGGAUGGUGAACCGAGGAAGGACAAGUGGAGCAGGCCGCCGGUGAGGAGGGUGGAGACGAGGUGGGGUAGUGGAGUAGCGGGGGCCGUUGUACCACGGCAUGGGGGUGGGGGCACUGCUGAGUGGAGGUCCUUCCCGGCAGGAACCGACGGCGUCGGAGGUGGACAGAGGGUGGGGGCACCAGAGAGGAGGAUCUUCCCGGCAGGGACCGGCGGUGGCGGAGGCGAGGAGGCCAGGAGGAGUCCGUCGCUGGAUCCACCGGACCAGCCACAGCCCGUCCGUGACGGGCGCCCAGGGGGGCGGGGACGGGGAGGGCGAGCGGGAUGGAGACGCAGGACGGGUCGUCGAUGGGAGGGGAGGGGACGCCGGCGCCGGAUCUACGGCCGCCCGGCUUCGGUCGCGCAGGAGGACGGGGUCGAGGAGGAUCCGUGGGGAGCGAGGCGAGGUGGAGCGGGGUGCAUCGUCUGCCGGAGAGGAUGGGGGAGGAGAGGGGAGCUAUGGGUGCAGCGAGCCGAGGGAGAGCCAGAUCCGUCGCCGGCCAGCCGAAACGGACGGCCAGGAGGCCGAAGCGCAGCCGCGGGCGCCGCCGGCACCAGGGGCCAGGCUGCCCGCCCACCUAGCGCCCAUCGCGGAGAGCAGUGCCCCGCCGCCGCCGUCGGCCGCGCGGGAUUCUCCCGGCGGCGUCCUUCGGCGGCGGCGAGGGGGAGAGAGGUGGGAGACGGGGUGGCGGCGGCUAGUUUUAAAACUUCGCUCCAUGCUAGGAGCUGGGUCCGAGCCCCUCCGUGCGAUUGCACUGCCGCUCCCUCCGCUCGAGGAGUUGCAGCUGUGGAGCGGAGUGGAUCCGAACGGGGGCUUAUUGUCAUAAUUUUGUGCGUUUAUUAUAGGAAGUGUUUGCCAACCAAGGUGAACCGAGAGAUACAAAAGCUGGAGCAAGAAGUUCGGUUACUCAUGCUCAAUGUCGCAAAGGAACACAGCCGCGGAAGCAGCAGCAACAACAACAAUAACGACGACAACGAUUGCAUAAAGACUAAACAUAACAGCUUUCUGCGCUCGAUUGUGAACAGCUCUCGGCAUUGCCCGGCCAGCUACGGUGGCAGCGCCGAGGACUAUAUCGUCGACAACUGGAAGAACAUCUACUUUGCCGGGCACGAGACUGCAGCUGUCACCACCACCUGGUGCCUGAUGUUACUGGCCACGCACCCGGCGUGGCAGGACCGUGCCCGCGCCGAGGCUCUGGAGGUGUGCCGUGGAUGCACAAAGCUCGACGUCGACGUCCCCCGGCGACUGAAAACAGUGAGAAAGCAUCCCUCCCGUUAUGCAUCGAUCAGUCUUGAAGAAACAGGCACGCCAUUGGCAUUAUUAGCCAUUGCAUUCUCUUUCCAGAUCACCAUGGUGAUCCAGGAGACUCUCCGGCUGUACCCUCCGGCGUCACUGAUCGUGCGCGAGGCGCUGACUGACUUCAAGCUUAAGUCUGAACAUCGGCCGCCACUUGUUUGUGAUCGGCAAGGCAUGCUUUCGUUGGUUGGUACUUUCUGCCGCUGA